UGGGGAAUAUUGCACAAUGGGCGAAAGCCUGAUGCAGCAACGCCGCGUGAGUGAUGAAGGUCUUCGGAUUGUAAAGCUCUGUCUUUUGGGACGAUAAUGACGGUACCAAAGGAGGAAGCCACGGCUAACUACGUGCCAGCAGCCGCGGUAAUACGUAGGUGGCGAGCGUUGUCCGGAUUUACUGGGCGUAAAGGGCGCGUAGGCGGAUGUUUAAGUGAGAUGUGAAAUACCCGGGCUUAACUUGGGUGCUGCAUUUCAAACUGGAUAUCUAGAGUGCAGGAGAGGAGAAUGGAAUUCCUAGUGUAGCGGUGAAAUGCGUAGAGAUUAGGAAGAACACCAGUGGCGAAGGCGAUUCUCUGGACUGUAACUGACGCUGAGGCACGAAAGCGUGGGUAGCAAACAGGGUUAGAUACCCUGGUAGUCCACGCCGUAAACGAUGAGUACUAGGUGUAGGAGGUAUCGACCCCUUCUGUGCCGCAAUAAAACACAUUAAGUACUCCGCCUGGGAAGUACGAUCGCAAGAUU
RNAcentral lists this ribosomal RNA (525 nucleotides) under uncultured bacterium. RNAcentral describes it as "partial 16S ribosomal RNA". It matches the Rfam family "Bacterial small subunit ribosomal RNA", at positions 355 to 895 of the family's 1533-position model. The record is from RNAcentral.